Molecule: ribosomal RNA, 1383 nt
Filed under: Iragoides fasciata
Lineage: Eukaryota; Metazoa; Arthropoda; Insecta; Lepidoptera; Limacodidae
Description: 16S ribosomal RNA
Source: RNAcentral
AGAGGAGUAAUAAUUAAAUUAAUAAAUUAAUAAAUAAAAAAAAAAUUUUUAAAAAUAUUUUAAUUGGGGAGUUAAAGUAUUAUUAUAGAAAAAAUUUUUAAUUUUAUAAUAAAUUAGUAAUGUAAAUGAAAUUUGAAAUAAAAAAAAAAAAUUAUUAAAAAGUAAUUUUUAUUUAGUGUAUCUUGUGUAUCAGAGUUUAUUAAUUAAUUUUUUAAUUUUAAAAUUUUUCGAAUUAAAAAGAGUUAAUUAAUUAAAAAAUUUAUUAUAGUAUAAAUAUUUUUUAUAGUUAAUUAGAAAUGAAAUGUUAAUCGUUUUUUAAGAUAUCUAGUUUUUUUAGAAAAAAAUUUAAUUUUAAAAUUAUUAUAUAAUAUAAAUUAAUUUAUUUAUUUUUAAUAAAUUAAUUUAUUAAUAAUUUAAAUAUUUUAAGGGAUAAGCUUUAAAAUAAAUUUUUAUAUUUAUAUUAUUUAAAUAAAAAAAAUUUUUAAAAUUUAUAUUGUUUAAAAAUUAUAAUUUAUUAUAAAUAAUUUUAUUGAGAAGAAAAAUUUAAAUUUAAAAAUUAAAAUUUUAUAAAAAUAUUAUUUAUAAUAAUAAAAAUUAAGAAAUAAUGAUAAAAUUAGUAUAAUAAAUUAUAAUUAUAAUUAAAAUUUAAUUAAAAAUUAAUAAAAAGAAUUCGGCAAAAAUUAAUAUUCACCUGUUUAUCAAAAACAUGUCUUUUUGAAAAUAAUUAAAAGUCUGAUCUGCCCACUGAUGAAAAUUAAAGGGCUGCAGUAAUUUGACUGUACAAAGGUAGCAUAAUCAUUAGUCUCUUAAUUAGAGACUUGUAUGAAUGAUUUGAUGAAAUAUUAACUGUUUCUUAUUAAUUUAUUGAAUUUAAUUUUUUAAUUAAAAAGUUAAAAUUUAAUUAAAAGACGAGAAGACCCUAUAGAGUUUUAUAAAAUAAAAAAUACUUAUAAUAUUUUAGUAAAAUUAUAAUUAUUUUUUUUUUUAUUAUAUUGGGGUGAUAAAAAAAUUUAAUUAACUUUUUUUUAAAAAAAAUCAUAAAUAAAUGAAUUAAUUGAUCCAAAAUUUUUGAUUAUAAGAAAAAAUUACCUUAGGGAUAACAGCGUAAUUUUUUUUUUUAGUUCAAAUAAAAAAAAAAGUUUGCGACCUCGAUGUUGGAUUAAGAUAAAAUUUAAAUGCAAAAGUUUAAAAUUUUGAUCUGUUCGAUCAUUAAAAUCUUACAUGAUCUGAGUUCAAACCGGUGUAAGCCAGGUUGGUUUCUAUCUUUAAUAAAAUAAAAUAUUAUAGUACGAAAGGAUUUAAUAUUUAAAAUAAUUUUAUUUGAAAUGAAUUUUAAUAAAGAAAAAUUAUUUAUAAAAGAAAAUAAGUUUAAAUUUUAUUUAA